GACGAACGCUGGCGGCGUGCCUAACACAUGCAAGUCGAACGGAACUGCAAUGAACAAGACUUCGGUCAAGUGAGUUGUACGUUUAGUGGCGGACGGGUGAGUAACGCGUGAGCAAUCUGCCUUUUCAGAGGGGGGAUAACAUUCUGAAAAGAAUGCUAAUACCGCAUAAAGUGCACAGUUGGCAUCGACAGUGCACCAAAGGAGUAAUCCGCUGAAAGAUGAGCUCGCGUCCGAUUAGAUAGUUGGCGGGGUAACGGCCCACCAAGUCGACGAUCGGUAGCCGGACUGAGAGGUUGAACGGCCACAUUGGGACUGAGACACGGCCCAGACUCCUACGGGAGGCAGCAGUGGGGAAUAUUGGGCAAUGGACGCAAGUCUGACCCAGCAACGCCGCGUGAAGGAAGAAGGCUUUCGGGUUGUAAACUCUUUGUCAGGAAGAGCAGAAGACGGUACCUGACGAUAAGCACGGCUAACUACGUAGCCAGCAGCC
RNAcentral lists this ribosomal RNA (490 nucleotides) under uncultured bacterium. RNAcentral describes it as "bacterial SSU rRNA". It matches the Rfam family "Bacterial small subunit ribosomal RNA", at positions 28 to 516 of the family's 1533-position model. The record is from RNAcentral.